AAAAAAAAGAAAUGCUUACACCCAUACUUAAUCCAUGCCUAUUUUUAGAAUUAAUACAAUAGGGUGCUAAGUACCUAUAAAGGUCAGGCAACUUGUGAAUUUACAAGGAGCAAAGAGGUGAAAACUUAUUCAGAAGUUUUUUUCUGGUUCAAACUUACUAAAAGGAUUAGUCGACUCAGCUGUGUUUUUUCUGGGUCAAACUUACUAAAGGGAUUAGUCAACUCUGCUGUGAAUUCAGAAUGGGCUGUCCUUUGAAAAACGUCUACUGUGAUUGGUAGAUGGAAGAACUUAGGGGAGGUGACAUAGGAGAAAACCCCCUAUAUAAGAAAAAGGAAUCUCUUGAGAAGAGGAUUGUUUGAGAAGGGGCUCUUGAGAGACAGGCUCUAAGGAGGAUCUCUUGAGAACGAAUCUCUUGGAGGAAAUCUCUAAGGAGAUCUCUCAAGGGAGGCUGACUCUGGCUGGAACUCCCUCUGUGGAGACUCUGACCCUCUGAGUCCCUUGCUUGGACAAAUCUUAUGGUGAGUGAUUAAGGACUGACUGGUUUCUCUCUUAAGGCUUAGGCCUGGGUUGGCCAGGGCUGCCCUGGGCCGGCCUAUUCUUUUCUCAUUAAUUCCUUUGCUCUCUCCUCUCUUUCUUUAAUUCCUCAUUGUAUUGUUAAUUAAAUUCUCUAUAAAACCCAGUUGACUUGGGUAUAUUCAUAAUUGGGACUAUUUCCCUGGCGACCACCUUAUAUUUGAUUUAAAACCAAGACAUUGUAGUGAAACAUAUUUUCUGCGGUCACAAAUUUACUCACCCACUCUAAAAUCUACUAUAAUUUAUAUCUUCCACUAUUUUACUCACUACAGUUUACAACCUCAACCAUUUUAAUUAUUACAGUUUAUGGCAUCCACUCUUUUAAUUGCCACACUCUAACUCUUCAUGGUUAGAGUUUGGGUAAAUCCUUUGUGUUCUUCAGUGUCCUGCAGUCAUUUAAUGAAGGUUGUAUUACAUGAAUUCUGAAGGUUCAGCUCUAUGUCUUGUGACUUUUGCUGGUUUAGGGGUCAAUAGCACUCAAGGAUGUGACUGUGGACUUCACCCAGGAGGAGUGGGGCCUGUUGGACCAUUCUCAGAAAGAGCUGUGCCUGGAGGUCAUGCUGGAGAAUGUGCAGAAUCUACUCUCUGUGGGGCUUCCAGUUCCUAGAGAAAAUUUUAUCUCCUGUUUCCAGCAAGGGGAAGCAUCCUGGCUGCUAGAGCAAGAAGACCCAAGGAGCUCCUGUCCAGAGGCAGAGACUAAUUUUGAAGUGAAGAUGUCUACACAGUUGAACCUUUUUGUGGAAGGAUAUGACCCCCAACGAUUCAUAACUGAGGGUCCCUGUAACUUCUCUUUGAGAGAAAUCUGUGGCUCUAAUAUGAAGCUCAAGCCCAGGAAUUCCCAACUUGCCGGACAGCCCUAA
This 1433-nucleotide long non-coding RNA is filed under the name Monodelphis domestica (gray short-tailed opossum). RNAcentral's name for it is "lncRNA (ENSMODG00000039599.1)". The record is from RNAcentral. Lineage: Eukaryota; Metazoa; Chordata; Mammalia; Didelphimorphia; Didelphidae.